AAGAAUGCUCUUCUGAUGAUGCAAAACCAUAUGAUUGUAGAAAAUCUCAGUGCUUUAGCCGUUCAGCUAUAUCUCCUGUAGUAAAACCAAGACCAAAACCAACCCCUAAGCCAAAAAGACCACCAGUUCAGAACAAACCACCAGCACCUAAGCCAUCUCCUCCUACAAAACCUAUUGUACCAAUUGAAUCUCCACCACCACCUUCUUCCAAAUCUUCGGGGUCCCAUUUUAAGCGCUCUCCGCCGCCACCUCAAUCAACUCCUCCGCCAUCACCACCACCACCACCACCUGUUUAUAGCAGUUCCCCGUCGCAUCAACAUAGAAGUCCACCACCUCCUACCCACAAAAUUUCACCUGUAACUCGUCACGCUCCACCUCCUCCACCUCCACCAAGUCCGGUAUAUUAUCACCACCCAUCACCACCACCUCCACAACCAGUAUAUUACGCGCCACCAACAUAUAAACCUCAAUCACCACCACCACCUCCACCACCAGUACAUUACGAGCCACCAACGUACACACCUCAAUCACCACCACCACCUCCACCAGUACAUUACGAGCCACCACCAUACACACCUCAAUCACCACCACCUCCACCAGUACAUUACGAACCACCAACGUACACACCUCAAUCGCCACCACCACCAGUAUAUGUGACACCGUCUUCACCACCACCACCAGUAUAUGAGCAUCCAAAACCUCCAACUCCAACUCCAUCACCACCAGCUGGGUACACACCUCCCCAGGAGCCAUCACAUCCUGCCCCACCUACCCCACCUUGUAACGAGACACCACCCCCACCACCUAGUACCCCACAUUGGCAACCAAAACCAUCUCCUCCCCCUACAUAUAACCCAUCACCAUCAUAUACCCAAAGCCCCCCGCCGCCACCUCCUACUUACACCUACUCUUCACCGCCGCCACCAUCAUCAUCACCUCCCCCUCCCACUUACUACUACUCAUCACCGCCUCCGCCGCCACCAUCACCUCCACCGCCAUCACCAUCACCACCACCCCCAAGUUACGAACACGUUCCACUUCCACCCAUUGUAGGAGUCUCCUAUGCAUCUCCACCACCACCAGUCAUUCCAUAUUAUUGAGCCCGGGGUUAAUUAACCAUUAGCCUCAGUUCAUUAUCUUUAAUUUUCCAUUAACAGAUGGAGAUUUGGAGGAGAAGAAUGGAAUUCUUUUUUCUUUUUCUUUUUUUGAUUGGGAAUUAUGUAUACUUUGUUAUUUAUUUUGUUUUUUUAAUUAUCUUGAGUUGAUUAUAUAUUUAUGAAAAAUGGGAUGCUGGGCGGGAGUUAGCAAGGGGUUUAACGAGCAUUAUUGUUAUUCCGAAAGGGUGGUUGUGUAUAACUACAAUUUUACUGUUUUCUUUAGUAAAACUCAUUUAUUCAAUUA
Molecule: long non-coding RNA, 1401 nt
Filed under: Nicotiana tabacum (common tobacco)
Lineage: Eukaryota; Viridiplantae; Streptophyta; Magnoliopsida; Solanales; Solanaceae
Description: long non-coding RNA (NTAB_LNC000114)
Source: RNAcentral